AACACAUCAGCCAUGCACAAAUGGUUCUGCCCAGUGGAUGCAACUUCAACUGUUCUAAGUGCAUGGUGCUCUCUGGUGAGUAUAUAUGAUGUUCCAAGCCUGUGAUAUCCUUAUAAUAGACUUAUGCCUCAUUCUAUUCUUGGCUGCAGGGAACCAAGCGCAUCUUCAUUCUUCAGUCAGUCCUUGAUCUAGAAUUGUGGCGAGGAGGACUCCAACCAGGCCAAUCCUUUUAUAUAUAUGGUGAGUGUGCAACGCUCUGAUACACUCCCUCUGAUCCAUCGUUAGUGUCUCAGUUUUGAACUAAGGUUGAAAACUAACCUUGGUUUAAAACUGUGACACUUAUUAUGGGUCGGAGUGAGUGGUGUUUUGUGCAUUUUAUAUCAUCACAUGGUAGAACAGUGACGAGUGUUGAACUAGGAUUUAUUUAUUUGUCUCUUUGCCAGCAUAUGCAUGUAAUGUCGAUGGUAGUGGCGAAACAUUCCGCAUCUGAAUUCUUCACAACAAUAGGAUGUUGC
This 515-nucleotide long non-coding RNA is filed under the name Triticum aestivum (bread wheat). RNAcentral describes it as "long non-coding RNA (TAES_LNC017237)". Lineage: Eukaryota; Viridiplantae; Streptophyta; Magnoliopsida; Poales; Poaceae. The record is from RNAcentral.